AUAAAAUAUUUCCUUCUCUUAAAGAAAUCACUUUAUUACAAUUGUAAGAAGCUAUAUUUAGAGACAAGUUACUAUGAUGAGAGAAAAUAGAUCUAAAUGCUAAAAUUCAUUAAAAAUAUAUUGUUGGAAUACAAGAUGUAGUUAUUAAAUAAUCAAAUUGCUCAUACAGAUAACUAGUAAAGAGCCAAAGUAGGAUGGAAGGGGGAAGAUUGUUAUAGUAAUCAAGACUAUUUUUAACAUGCUGAGCCAGUUUGUGCAUUCAUGUCAUUGUUAAUAGAAAUAAGUGUUGCCAAAAUCAUUCUUAAAGUUCAGGAAAACCUGAAUGAGUACAUCAAAAAUGAAGGCAUUUAUUGUUGUAAUCUUGGCUGAAUAGGUUCCUAAUGGUCCCAAGGAUAGUUGAUGGGUCUAUCAGAGAUCCAUUAGAAGCUCAUGAUGAUCCCAUGAUUCAUGGAGAUGAUAGUCUUGAUGAAAGUUUCUAUGGAACAAUUUUUGGCCAAAAAAAGCCCAUCAAUGCUGGGUCAUCCAUAUAUUUUGAGAUUUGGCACCUUUAUGACUUUUUUUUUAUUCUCCAUGAUCAAAAAUGUACUAAAGGAGACCUGUUUUGAGUCUGUGGAGACAAAGCAAAAAUAGUAAAGUUGCAAGGAAUCCACAAGCACUUUUAGAAGAAAAACUAC
Molecule: long non-coding RNA, 674 nt
Filed under: Androctonus crassicauda
Lineage: Eukaryota; Metazoa; Arthropoda; Arachnida; Scorpiones; Buthidae
Source: RNAcentral